RNA transcript from Molossus molossus (Pallas's mastiff bat), 3133 nucleotides. It is a transcript of the gene named serine and arginine rich splicing factor 6, with no coding region annotated. NCBI's taxonomy places the organism in Eukaryota, Metazoa, Chordata, Mammalia, Chiroptera, Molossidae. The transcript is spliced from 7 exons. The record is from RefSeq and is a predicted model, not a curated record.
GUGUGGCUGGAGUUGGCCGCCGCUGCCGUGGAAGGCGCGUGUUUGGACUUUUGACGUCCCCUCACCCGCACCGCGGCUUCUGCCUAGCGGCCCACCGUCUGAUAGACAGCCCUCGGGCCCCUCGGCCGCCACGGACAUGCCGCGCGUCUACAUAGGGCGCCUUAGCUACCACGUCCGAGAGAAGGACAUUCAACGUUUUUUCAGUGGUUAUGGCCGCCUUCUCGAGAUAGACCUCAAAAAUGGGUACGGCUUCGUGGAGUUCGAGGACUCCCGCGACGCCGACGACGCCGUUUACGAGCUGAACGGCAAGGACCUCUGCGGCGAGCGCGUGAUCGUGGAGCACGCCCGGGGCCCGCGCCGCGAUCGCGACGGCUACAGCUACGGAAGCCGCAUGACCAAUGGGGCUGAGGCUGUGUCCACUGAGGCUAAGAUGACUGCCUUUCCUGAUUGGCCUUGGCUUUUCCAUACAUUGUGUGACCCUUGCCCUAUGACCCUUUGGCUGACCUUACCGGAAGCCAUGACGACAGCAGCCUUUUGCCAUUAGACGCAGGGUGAUGGUGAGGAUUCCAAGGGUUAGACAAAACUGGUUAAUCUGAACUAGGUGACUGUUACCUUGCGUGUUUUGUGGCCAAACCACCACCAAAAACCUCACACUGUGAUGUGGUGGAGGUGGAUACAGCAGUCGGAGAACUUCUGGCAGAGACAAAUAUGGACCACCUGUUCGUACAGAGUUCAGACUUAUUGUAGAAAAUCUUUCUAGUCGCUGCAGUUGGCAAGAUUUAAAGGAUUUCAUGAGACAAGCAGGUGAAGUAACCUAUGCGGAUGCUCACAAAGAACGCACAAACGAAGGUGUGAUUGAGUUUCGCUCCUACUCUGACAUGAAGCGUGCUUUGGAUAAACUAGAUGGUACAGAAAUAAAUGGCAGAAAUAUUAGGCUCAUUGAAGAUAAAGCACGAACAAGCCAUAGGCGGUCUUAUUCUGGAAGCAGAUCGAGGUCACGGUCUAGAAGGAGGUCACGAAGUAGGAGUCGCAGGAGCAGCCGCAGUAGAUCUCGAAGUGUCUCCAAAAGUCGCUCCCGAUCCAGGUCUCGAAGCAAAGGUCGAUCACGUUCUCGGUCAAAAGGCAGGAAAUCUAGAUCAAAAAGCAAAUCAAAGCCUAAGUCUGAUCGGGGCUCCCGUUCACGCUCUCGAAGCAGGUCUAAGGAUGAGUAUGAGAAAUCUCAAAGCAGGUCUCGUUCUCGAUCUCGUUCCCCCAAAGAAAAUGGAAAAGGUGAUAUAAAGUCAAAAUCUAGAUCGAGGAGCCAGUCUCGCUCCAAUUCUCCCCCACCUGCUCCACCCUCAAAGGCUCAUUCUGUGUCCCCUCCACCAAAAAGAGCUUCAAGAUCUCGUUCUAGAUCCCACUCAAAGUCAAGGUCACGGUCCAGAUCGAGUUCCAGAGAUUAGCCCAGAACUCUAUGUUCUUUGCACACUAUUAUGGAACACUUUUCCUACUUGCUUAGGCAGUUACUCUUCCAUGUUUGUACUUGGCCUCUUCUGCAAGAGGAAUCUCCUGAAAACAAGGGCACACAGAAAUUUGAUUUGUGGCCAAAUUUGAUGAAAAAGAUGGGGUUCUAAAGAAAUGGUGGCAUGAAGACCUCCUCCCUUCUUUGUAGAAUUAAGAUAACUUUGAUUUUAUAGCUUUUGAGCUAAAAUAACUUUUGUAAAGAUUAAGCUCAUUUAGAUUUUUUUUUUUUUUUUUUAAGUAUUUCAGCAGGAUCUGCUGCAGGGGUUUUGUUUUAUUUGUUUGCUGACUUUUAAAUUUAAACUGUUUCAAGCUUUGGAUACUUAAGGCUUUAGAGGGAGAACCCAUUUUUCAAUUAUGUUGGCUUUUAUAUAAAGCCUGAGUUAUGUAAGAUUUCAAUAAAAGUUUGCUACCAAGAUGAUUGCCUUAUUGAAUAGGUCGCUAUUAAUUCCUUUAAAUAUUGAUAUCUACUGUUUGUGGAAACAAUGUAAAUUCUACUUAAAUGUAAAACAAGGCAAGCCUCAGACCAGCAAUAAAUUAUUCAAUUUGGAUAACAUUAUUUUGUUCUGUUAAUCAAAUUUGCCAAAGUCAUUGUAUCUGCCCAUUUAACAAGUUAGGUUAUAAAUAAAAUAUUUUGUAGUCAAUCUGUUAUACAAUUUUGCCUAAAUUAAAUAAUGAAACCUAUUUUUUUUUAUUUUGAUGCUUUUUAAUUUAGAUGUUUCUAAGAAAUGGGUUGUUUUGUUUUGUUUUGCCCAAUAUAAAUUGCAGAAUUUCAGAGAAGAAACUGGUGCCUGUAAUUAUAGUUCGUUAUUUUGCAGAUUUGAAAGAACAAGUUAAUGAUUUGGGAAGAGGCAAGCCUCCACUGCUUUUCAGAAUUAGGUGUUUAAGGACACAUUAGUUUAAGACUUGGCUUUGACCAAAGUUCUCUUGUUUUUAGGGAAAGAACAAAAGCUUUUAGGAGAGGGUGGGGAAUGUUACAAGGUGAAAUUUGACUCUCAAAGUAUGCAGCAUCCUCGUGUUAAUCUUACAUCACAUGUUGUAAUAGGCAGGUUUGUCUACACUGUUAGCUGGCCUGUAGUGAAUAUAGGUAAAUUACUGCACUCGUAUAAUUUUUCUAGUAAUAGCAAAGACCAUCUUAACUGAAAAUCUAGUCUUACUCCAUACCUGUGGACCUCCAUCAUUAGAUAGCUAAACCACUAUAACAUUGGCCCACUUGAGAACACAGUUUCGUUCCUUGCCAACUUGUGAGUUGAAUCAGACAGUCUCUACAACAUGCUACAUAUUGAUCUGUGACUGGAUGGUGUAUUAAGCUGAUAGAGAGCAAAAGAAGUGAGCAACAUCUUGAUUCCCCUUUCUUUUACCUGACUGUUUAUUGACACCAUAGUGCCUUUAUGGCCAGUUUAAGUCCUGCCUGCUCCUGUGCUACCAUCUUUCGUCUUUGGUAUCUUUCUCCCACUUUGUUAACCGAUUUUUGCUUUAUCUCCUCAAUAAAAUACUUACUGAGGGAAAGGCUUGUUUUGAAUUUAUUGUGUAUUCCCACUUAGUGCCAAAUUCUUGGCAAGUGGUCUUUAGAAUUGGAGUUGCUAUUCCUGAUUUGAAUGAGAAAAGGGAUCUAGUUUUCCACUCCUCAAUG